Molecule: long non-coding RNA, 1239 nt
Organism: Mytilus californianus (California mussel)
Lineage: Eukaryota; Metazoa; Mollusca; Bivalvia; Mytilida; Mytilidae
Exons: 2
Source: RefSeq, a predicted model, not a curated record
AACAGAUAACCAUCCAUAAAAAAAAAGCUUAGUUAGCAUAUUUCUGCAAUUAUUCGAAGACAGUGCAUAUCUUUUUGUAUGAGUUAGAUGAACCCAGCUGGUUUCGUUUAUGUACUGUCUUAUUUUCAGAUAUACAGGGAACAUCUUUUCUCAGAAAAAUGGACAUAUGUAAAGUAGUUUUUGUGAUAUGUUUCGCGACCAGUAUACAUUGUAUUCCGUUAUUUCCGUACGAUUUGGUCGAUUUGACCAGAAAUCUGGGACCAGAUUCAAUAUACUAUCCAACAUUAGCAGGAUAUGAAAAAAUUAUUGAACUUCAAGGAAGUAAACAAUUCGGCCAUUGGGUAUUUUCUAACGUACUUAGGAUGACAGAACACGUCGGUACCCAUAUGGAUGCCCCGAGUCAUUUUAACAAAGUCGGAUGGAAUAUGCAUCAAAUACCAAUUAAUAAAAUGGUAGGUCCAGGGGUCAUUGUCAAUGUCAAGGAAAAAGCGCAAAAUAAUCCGGACUAUCGGGUAUCAAUAAAUGAUAUGAAAGAAUGGGAAGAAAAAUAUGGAAAAAUGCCUGACGGGGCAAUGGUAAUAAUGAAUUCGGGAUGGGAUGCAAAAUACCCUAACAAAAACAGUGUUUUUGGCACGAAGAAUAUAUCAGAUCUUAGGUCUUUUCAUUACCCAGGUUGGCACGAGGAUACAAUAUCUUGGAUUAUAGCUAAUAGACACAUGCUUUUCAUCGGAACAGAUACGCCGUCAUUUGAUUAUGGACAGUCCUCAACAUUUCCAGUACAUAUUUCAACUUCACGAGAAAAUAUAUGUGGUUUGGAGAACGUUGCCAAUUUGGAUAGAAUUCCAUCUAGCGGAUCAAUUAUCUCAGCUGCAGGAAUGAAAUCGGUGGAAGGAAGUGGAGGGCCUCUCAGACUUUAUGCUAUGGUUCCAAGUUCUGGUGUUAACAAUAGUUCAGUUCCAAACGGAACAUCUCAUUUGUUUCUUAUUGUUAUUUGUCUGACUCUAUUUAUCAACUCCAACACUUAAUUUAUUUUUAAAUGUCUGUAUCUGUGCUCAAAAAACGACAAGCAUAUCGUUUUUAAUAGGUAAAAAGCAAAGAAAGAAAUAUUUCAAUAUACUUCAACUUUUGAAGGAUUUUUAGACUUUAUUUUAUACUAUAUUUGAAACAGUACGGAAUCAGUAUAGUAGAAUAGAAUCUGGGAUGUUCGAAUAAAGAUUUAGGAGAAUAAAAUAACAAUGU